GGCUCAGAAUGAACGCUGGCGGCGUGCCUAACACAUGCAAGUCGGAUGUGCCGCAAGGUGCAUGGCAGACGGGUGAGUAACGCGUAGGGAAUCUACCUUUUUGUGGGGAAUAACGCUCCGAAAGGAGUGGUAAUACCGCAUGAGACCGUGAGCUGGGAUGCUUACGGUGAAACCUGGGGACCGCAAGGCCUGGGGCAAAAAGAGGAUCCUGCGUCUGAUUAGCUAGUUGGCGGGGUAAUGACCCACCAAGGCGACGAUCAGUAGCCGGCCUGAGAGGGUGAUCGGCCACACUGGAACUGAGACACGGUCCAGACUCCUACGGGAGGCAGCAGUGGGGAAUUUUGCGCAAUGGACGAAAGUCUGACGCAGCAACGCCGCGUGGGUGAUGAAGGUCUUCGGACUGUAAAACCCUGUCGUCAGGGACGAAGGUUGAGGGGUUAAUAACCCUUUAGCUUGACGGUACCUGGAGAGGAAGCCCCGGCUAACUCUGUGCCAGCAGCCGCGGUAAUACAGAGGGGGCAAGCGUUAUUCGGAAUUAUUGGGCGUAAAGGGCGCGUAGGCGGUUUGUUAAGUCAGAUGUGUAAUCCCCGAGCUCAACUUGGGAACUGCAUCUGAGACUGGCAGGCUAGAGUACUGGAGAGGGUGGUGGAAUUCCUCGUGUAGCGGUGAAAUGCGUAGAGAUGAGGAGGAACACCAGUGGCGAAGGCGGCCACCUGGACAGUAACUGACGCUGAGGCGCGAAAGUGUGGGUAGCAAACAGGAUUAGAUACCCUGGUAGUCCACGCUGUAAACGAUGAACACUUGGUGUGGAGGGAGUUGACCCCUUCCGUGCCGGAGCUAACGCGUUAAGUGUUCCGCCUGGGGAGUACGGUCCGCAGGCUGAAACUC
This 888-nucleotide ribosomal RNA is filed under the name uncultured bacterium. Its description in RNAcentral is "bacterial SSU rRNA". It matches the Rfam family "Bacterial small subunit ribosomal RNA", at positions 21 to 902 of the family's 1533-position model. The record is from RNAcentral.